CUACGACUGCUUAUAUCAAACUGCACUACCAAAAUACUUUGAUAAUUCAAAAUGGUGACUGUCUCUAAAGGGUUUGUGAAGAUUUUGGUUUCUGUAUGUGUGGUGUUGAUUGUUAUUUGUCAUGCAGCAAGGUAUUACGAGAGAGAAGACGAGAACGAAGGAUAUGAACCAUACGACAAAUGUAAGUUUUUAUAUGCAUAUUUUAAUUAGCUUAAACAUUUAUACAGUUUAAACUCUAGCUGUUUAUAUAUUUUUCUAAAGGGUCAUUGUUGGUAUAGUUUUUAUCUCUUUUAACAACCCAAAUCUGAGAAUAGCAGUGUCAAUUUAAUUCGAGGAGAAUGUCUUUAAGACUUACAAAUUUAAAGCUGCAAGGAGAUUUUAAAUGAAAUUCAGGAAAGUAUUUUGGCACCAGACAGCUUUCUGCAAUAUUUUACUAAAAACUUUUUUAUCUCUGUUCUGAAGAGUUCUAAAUAUGGUAAAGGGCGAUAACUCAUUUGGGAAAAAAAUAAUGGACAGGCAUAAUUUUUAGAAAUUAAUUUCACACAUUUCUAGAUAGAAUACCCAUAACUUUUUUUUAUCAUUAGUAAAAACAAGACUGAAAUUAAUUGUUUUAGUGUUUUUUUUUAAUAGAUGUGGCCGCAUAAAUUCACAAAACAACAUAAAAUAUUGUAUUUUUUUUUUCAAAAAUAACAACUUUCUCCCCUGUUUCCAUGGUAACCAACAUAUAUAUAUAUAUCGGUUGGUAACAUUUUUCUGACUAGACUAUUAGGGCCUGCAUCUCAGCCAAUUUUCAGGAAGAUCGGUGACUAUGCGUGCCAAAAAAGUUUAAGUGGUUACAGAGAAUGGGUAUUAAUCACAAAUGAUAUCUCCUUUUUUUCAUAUUUGUUGGGUGUAAAAAGUUAAAUCAAUGUUCAACUAUAAUUCGUAUGUUGUUAUAUAAAAAAGCUUGCUAGUUGAAUUAAAACAUAACACUUCUCAGUAUUGUAAUGUUGUUGAAUUAUGUAAGAACGCAGACAACUGAUUUUUAUAAAAAAAAAUAUAUAUAAAGUAUAUAAAAUAAAUACUGAUUAAAAGUUUCCAUGAGAAUAUUUAAGAAUAUUGUUCAAACUGUCAAUAUUGAUUGCAAGUUUUGAUCUCCAAAUUUAUCAAAAGGUGUUAGAUAGUUUUCGUAAAGCAAUACACAACUAUUAAUUAUUAUUUUGGAACAUCAAUAUCGUGAAAACCAAUCUGUCCAAUACCAAUAAUACCAGUAAACCUUAAUCAUGUAGUUAGUAACUUAUAUUUUGUCCACACCCUUUAAAUGGCUAUCUAUCUGGCGGAUGCAGAAGAAUCUUUUUUUCCAAUCAUUAUUACAAAUAUUGUUAUGCCACCGUGUUCAGCAUAUUUUAGAGAGCCUUUCCGAUUGCCACAGCAUUUCAAUGAACUGCGUUAUUAUUACAGCUUUCGUACCAAUAUGUCUGGUAAUAGGGGUGUCCUGUAGAGUAAUACGUAAGAUUCUGAGCCCGGUCGUAUCUAACAAAUGUUACCACGUAAAUGGGCGCGAUGGACAAUAAUAUUAGUAUCUAUUAUAUAAAUUUACUUAAUAAUUGAAUGCUUCUUUUUGUAACUUAAAAAAAAAGGGUUGACCGAAGUACAUUUUGUAUGAAGCGCGGAAGCUCUUCAUUAUAAAAAUGUGCACACGGUCAACGCUUUUACAACCCUAUGAAGUUACAAAAAGAAGAAUUCGGUACUUAUAAUUACAUUUUUUAAGCUAGUAUCAUGAAAACACGAAUUUUAUCAUUUUUUUAAAUUUAAUUUAUAAGUUUUUUUUUAAGUUUUAUUGUGUAAUGCAAUUGCUUAAGGAAUUACAUGUGAUGUGCAUUUAGCCAAUCAGAAUAACGUAUUAUAAUGAAACAUACAUCUCGGUAUCUGACGGUAAUAUAAGAUUAGAUAGUAUCAAAUUAGAAAAUAUUAUCAUUUGCUUAUUAUCAUGAUGCUGGAAACUUUUACAUUAUACAUGAUACUGAUAAAAUAUAAAAGUAUGACAUUUUUAUUCAUUUCCAUUUUCAGAAGCUUUGUUAAGUGGAACUAGAACGAAAGAAGCUUACAGUAGAAUGCGGAUCGAAUGAAAUCUGUAUAUCAUUAGCAAAUCCAUCGAUAAUCUUAUUUCAUAUAUAAAAUAAAUAACAUAAAAGAAAG
This 2178-nucleotide long non-coding RNA is filed under the name Mytilus galloprovincialis (Mediterranean mussel). Lineage: Eukaryota; Metazoa; Mollusca; Bivalvia; Mytilida; Mytilidae. The record is from RNAcentral.